GACCUCAAAUCAGGUAGGACUACCCGCUGAACUUAGGCAUAUCAAUAAGCGGAGGAAAAGAAACUAACAAGGAUUCCCCUAGUAACUGCGAGUGAAGAGGGAAAAGCUCAAAUUUAAAAUCUGUCAGUCUUUGGCUGACCGAGUUGUAAAUUAGAGAAGUGCUAUCUGCGCUGGCCUGUGCAAAAGUCUCUUGGAAAAGAGCAUCAUAGAGGGUGACAAUCCCGUCUUUGGUACAGAGCUCCAGGGCUUCAUGAUGUGCUCUCAAUGAGUCGAGUUGUUUGGGAAUGCAGCUCUAAAUGGGUGGUAAAUUCCAUCUAAAGCUAAAUAUUGGCGAGAAACCGAUAGCGCACAAGUACCGUGAGGGAAAGAUGAAAAGAACUUUGAAAAGAGAGUUAAACAGUACGUGAAAUUGUUGAAAGGGAAACGC
RNAcentral lists this ribosomal RNA (427 nucleotides) under uncultured fungus. Its description in RNAcentral is "eukaryotic LSU rRNA". It matches the Rfam family "Eukaryotic large subunit ribosomal RNA", at positions 1 to 422 of the family's 3401-position model. Lineage: Eukaryota; Fungi. The record is from RNAcentral.